RNAcentral lists this transfer RNA (62 nucleotides) under Anagonalia emeiensis. Its description in RNAcentral is "tRNA-Cys". The record is from RNAcentral. Lineage: Eukaryota; Metazoa; Arthropoda; Insecta; Hemiptera; Cicadellidae.
AGUCUUAUAGUUUAUUAAAACAUUAAAUUGCAAAUUUAAAAUAGAUACUAAUUCUAAGACUU